UGUGGGAGCGGGCUUGCUCGCGAAGGCGGUGGAUCAGUCAGUAUCAAUGUGUCUGACCGACCGCAUUCGCGAGCAAGCCCGCUCCCACA
RNAcentral lists this unclassified non-coding RNA (89 nucleotides) under Pseudomonas salomonii. The record is from RNAcentral. Lineage: Bacteria; Pseudomonadati; Pseudomonadota; Gammaproteobacteria; Pseudomonadales; Pseudomonadaceae.